Molecule: long non-coding RNA, 423 nt
Filed under: Gallus gallus (chicken)
Lineage: Eukaryota; Metazoa; Chordata; Aves; Galliformes; Phasianidae
Source: RNAcentral
AUUUUCAAGCGUAAAGUCGUACCAAAAUCUUGAUAAAUUGUCAUUGAUGUUGUAGGUGAGCAGUCGGUCAGGAACAUCAUUAUGGGUGCCCUGUACUGCUAACACGUGUGGUGCCAGGGCAAAGGGUACGUCGCUUAGAAGAUCUGACAUGAAAGGGCUGCUUUCCAAAUUUGGGCUCCUUUCAUUUCCCACCUCUGCUCUCGAUAGAGUCAACUCCGACCGGUGCCCUGUAUUUAUCUGUGGAGGCUGGUUGUAUAUCGGUCUGGUCUCGGGAAAUGAAGUUUUGUCCUUUGUCUCUCUAUUUUGGUCAUCAGCUGUGUCACCCACAAUAACAAAUCCAUCUGCUUCUCUCUCUUGCACUGUAAUUUUCUUUGAAUCUUGACCUUUUCGGAAGAAGCUGAACAUAGUCUCUUUUUCUCUUCU